AUAAUCAGGCAACUGCAGAGUCUUAGGGGGUUAUCUAAUGUAGUCUUGGGGUGGCUGGAUAGACUUCCCAAAGAAGGUGAUGCCGAAGCUGAGGUCGGAAAUUACGAAGAUCAGCUAUCAAACUUGGAAAUCAUGUCUUAGAGAUCAAGGAGCCAAGAGAUGAGACAAGCCUGGGUUCCUAGGUGAUAGGGUGUGGCUGUGUCCCCACCCAAAUCUCGUCUUGAAUUGUAGCUCCCAUAAUCCCCACAUGUUGUGGAGGGACCCUGUGGAAGGUAAUUGAAUUAUGGAGGAAGGCCUGAGGAGAGAAGACACAUAGUCAUGCUGACUAAACCAGAUCACCUAGAAUUACCAAAUGGAAAGAUUGUGCCUGCAGCCUGGCCUGUUGCCCACAGCGGUCUACCUGCCACACUGGGAAAGAUCGAGCAGAGACAGAGAAGAAAAGGAGGCUCCAUUUUUCAGGCUGCUCUCCCGCAGGCUCAUGUUUUGUGUUCAUGCCAGGCAGAGAACACAAAAUGUUCCAAUAAAUAAGUAUCAAAGGUUAGUGGUGAAAAUGAAGGAGGAGGAGGCAUUGCGUGAAAAACUAAACAUGCAAAAUAUUACACACAAAGAGAACCAAAAUGCAGGUUCACUGGAAAUGAUAGACAAUAUGUUAAAACAAGAGGAGAGAAGAGAGCUGAAAUAAUCAAAUGGAAACACACAAUUUAGGGCUAAGAUCUUGUUGUGUUCAGCCACAAAUGAUGGCCAGCAGUGAGGAAUCUGUGUGUUCUCCACACUCUUCGCUCCUGGGAAGUCAACUCACAUGGACCAUGAUAUCAAUAUCUGCUCCUUCCCCUAAUAUCUGUUUGACCUUGGGUCAGUUACUUAAACUUCCUAAGCCUUAGUUUCUUUGUCUGGAAAAUAGGGAUAGUUAUA
Molecule: long non-coding RNA, 912 nt
Filed under: Homo sapiens (human)
Lineage: Eukaryota; Metazoa; Chordata; Mammalia; Primates; Hominidae
Description: HSALNT0350229
Source: RNAcentral